AAUUUACUCCCUCCGAUCCUAAAUUCUUGUCUCAAAUUUGCCUAAAUAUGGAUGUAUCUAUUCUUAAAAGGAGUCUACAUACAUGUAAUAUUUCGACAACAAUUUAGGAUCGGAGGGAGUAUAAA
This is a non-coding RNA of Brachypodium distachyon (stiff brome), 125 nucleotides long. The record is from Rfam. NCBI's taxonomy places the organism in Eukaryota, Viridiplantae, Streptophyta, Magnoliopsida, Poales, Poaceae.